GUAGUACCAGAGUGUACUGGGUAUGGCAACACUUAAACAAAAAUCAGACAUGGCGCGGGUACACAGAAUUCCGGAUUUUUUUCACUUUUUCAUUUAUUUCUCAAUAUUUUCAUGUUGUUUACUUAAUUUGGCUAGUGCAAACAGGGAGCUCGAUGAAAGUAAUUGGAGGGACAUACUUGAAGGGGAAUGGAUGGUAGAAUUUUACGCGCCAUGGUGCCCCGCCUGCUCCGCGCUCGCUCCCACAUGGCGGGAGCUCUCGGCCCGCGCGGGCAAGCAGUCCCUCGCCAUGCGCGCCGCCUCCGUCGACGUGACCAAGUCGCCCGGCCUCAGCGGCCGCUUCGUGGUCACCGCGCUGCCUACUAUAUUCCAUGUGAUUGACGGCGAAUUCCGUCAAUACAAGGGCCCCCGCGACGUAGACUCGAUGCUGAGCUUCGUGCAGCAGAAGCGAUGGCAGCAAACAGAGCCUGUUCCAUCUUGGAAGGGCCCAGACUCGCUCCAAAUGGGGCUGGUGGCGCAGUUCUUCAAGCUGUCUCAAGCACUUAGGAGUGUUCACAACAUGCUGAUGGAGACGUACGGGCUGCCGACGUGGGGCUCGUACCUGAUCUUCGCUGUCGCUACUAUUUUCAUUGGGGCACUGCUUGGGCUGGUGUUGGUGUGCCUGAGCGACGUGCUGUACCCCGUGCGGCGCAAGGACUUCGUGCCCGCCGCGCACGCGAGGGCCAGCGGCGACGCCGGCGGCAAGUCCGACGACGAGCAGGUACGUGUGCAGGUGUUGGUGUGCCUGAGCGACGUGCUGUACCCCGUGCGGCGCAAGGACUUCGUGCCCGCCGCGCACGCGAGGGCCAGCGGCGACGCCGGCGGCAAGUCCGACGACGAGCAGGUACGUGUGCAGGUGUUGGUGUGCCUGAGCGACGUGCUGUACCCCGUGCGGCGCAAGGACUUCGUGCCCGCCGCGCACGCGAGGGCCAGCGGCGACGCCGGCGGCAAGUCCGACGACGAGCAGGUACGUGUGCAGGUGUUGGUGUGCCUGAGCGACGUGCUGUACCCCGUGCGGCGCAAGGACUUCGUGCCCGCCGCGCACGCGAGGGCCAGCGGCGACGCCGGCGGCAAGUCCGACGACGAGCAGGUACGUGUGCAGGUGUUGGUGUGCCUGAGCGACGUGCUGUACCCCGUGCGGCGCAAGGACUUCGUGCCCGCCGCGCACGCGAGGGCCAGCGGCGACGCCGGCGGCAAGUCCGACGACGAGCAGGUACGUGUGCAGGUGUUGGUGUGCCUGAGCGACGUGCUGUACCCCGUGCGGCGCAAGGACUUCGUGCCCGCCGCGCACGCGAGGGCCAGCGGCGACGCCGGCGGCAAGUCCGACGACGAGCAGGUACGUGUGCAGGUGUUGGUGUGCCUGAGCGACGUGCUGUACCCCGUGCGGCGCAAGGACUUCGUGCCCGCCGCGCACGCGAGGGCCAGCGGCGACGCCGGCGGCAAGUCCGACGACGAGCAGGUACGUGUGCAGGUGUUGGUGUGCCUGAGCGACGUGCUGUACCCCGUGCGGCGCAAGGACUUCGUGCCCGCCGCGCACGCGAGGGCCAGCGGCGACGCCGGCGGCAAGUCCGACGACGAGCAGGUACGUGUGCAGGUGUUGGUGUGCCUGAGCGACGUGCUGUACCCCGUGCGGCGCAAGGACUUCGUGCCCGCCGCGCACGCGAGGGCCAGCGGCGACGCCGGCGGCAAGUCCGACGACGAGCAGGUACGUGUGCAGGUGUUGGUGUGCCUGAGCGACGUGCUGUACCCCCGUGCGGCGCAAGGACUUCGUGCCCGCCGCGCACGCGAGGGCCAGCGGCGACGCCGGCGGCAAGUCCGACGACGAGCAGGUACGUGUGCAGGUGUUGGUGUGCCUGAGCGACGUGCUGUACCCCGUGCGGCGCAAGGACUUCGUGCCCGCCGCGCACGCGAGGGCCAGCGGCGACGCCGGCGGCAAGUCCGACGACGAGCAGGAAGAGUUGAUAAACGAAGAUAUUGUAGACGACGCGCCGUCCGGCGCUGACAGCGAUGCUGAGAAGAAUUCACCCAGCGAUAGUUCGUCGGAGGAGUCGGGCGGCGCGGCGGCCGGCGGCGACGCGCGCGCGCCCGAGACAUGAAGUAACGAAGCCAUUUUUUUCUAAACGUUUAAAACAUUCCGGAUCCAAAAUCUACUCGUAUAACAUGCAACGUACUUACAAUUUAAAGAACAAAUUUGCAAAACGAAUUAUUGAAAUGUUAUUUAAAAUAAAGCCAAAAUUAAAGGUCUUUUACUAUAUUUUGCAUUUUUUAUUGUAUGUAAAAUACUCAGAUUAUAUGUUGCUCAGACUUUUGUAUAUUUACUAUAUAUUUUCUAACACAUGCAUUUUUCGUCCCUUAAUUUUAAGGUAUAAAUAUAUUAUAGUGAUGUGAAAGAGUUCUGAUAGUCUUUUAUUUUGUGUCGACUACCAACGAGGUAGAAAAUAUCUUAAACUAUUGCCGAAUAAAAAAGUGGUGAAAUUAUAAAUAGAACUUUUUCUCACCACCACGAUUAACAUUUAGAGAACGGGGAGCAAAAGAAAUACGAUACGUAAAGAAGAUACGUAUUGAACUAUAGUAGAUCCUCAUCGUAUUUAGUCUAAAUCUUUUGAACUGAGCAAUUGAGCAGCAGAAUCUAUUCAAUACCGUGUUUAAAAUGGCAAACGGGAAGCGCCAUAGAAAAAAGUUCAGGGCGACAUUUCAUGUUAGUCAAUUUUCAACUCUAUAGUGUUAGCCAGUAGAUUCAUGAAAAGAUGCAGAGGGCGGUCGACACGCGUCAAAAGGCACGUGGCAGUCCUGAUAGUCUGCUGAUAUUAGUUAGUACCAUUAUGUAUCAACUGCCUACGGCUAUAGAGAUGAUAAUUGAGAAACAUGAUAUGGUGCCCUGAACCUUUUUUUAGGCGCCUCCCGUUUGCCAUUUAAAACACAAUACUGAGUAGAUUCUAUCUGUAGUGUAUAGACGUCUCGAACGCUUACGUCAUGGUGACGUCACUGACAGUCGGUCGAUGUAAGACCGGCAAGCAGAGCGGUCGCACCGCGAUGUUUGUGUUGUGUUGGCGAACCGUUGGAAAUACAUUAUACGUAUGAUUUACUGAGGUAAAUACAGUACUUUACACUAUCUAUUAGCUCAUUUUAAAAGAUUUAGAAUAUACCUAUAGUGUAUACACAGCCAUUUUUAGAAGGAAUACUAAACAAUUUUUUAAUGUUUGUAAAAGUAGCCCUUAAAAGGGGUUAGUAUUGGUAAAAUUUUUGGGAAGAGAUAGUCAAAAAGGGAUUAUAAUUAUGAAGAAGGGCCCUACUUAGUGUUAGCCUUUCUUUUUCCCUAUUUAUGAAAAUGCUUAGUGCUCUAAGAUACGAAUAGGAUUUUGCUCCCCGCGCAACGCGAUAAUGCCUUGUACAAAGACUUAAGAUUUGUUGGUGUUGCGUUUUAAUUACUUAUUAUUGACCUAGUGACUUGCUGAAUAAAUUGUAUUUAUAAA
Cydia pomonella (codling moth) is the source of this 3509-nucleotide RNA transcript. RefSeq lists it as uncharacterized. The record is from RefSeq and is a predicted model, not a curated record. Lineage: Eukaryota; Metazoa; Arthropoda; Insecta; Lepidoptera; Tortricidae. The transcript is spliced from 8 exons.